RNAcentral lists this long non-coding RNA (233 nucleotides) under Brassica napus (rape). RNAcentral describes it as "long non-coding RNA (BNAP_LNC001308)". The record is from RNAcentral. Lineage: Eukaryota; Viridiplantae; Streptophyta; Magnoliopsida; Brassicales; Brassicaceae.
AAAUUAUAAAAUAACCAAAAUAAGAAGAAUAAACUAGAGCAAACACAUAAUCUAACCCUAAAACCUCCACAAUCAUAAAGAAAACUAAAAUGACAUAAUAACGCUAACUCAAUAAAGGUCUGAAGCUGAAAAGAGAUCGAGAACCAAAACUAACUUACCAUAGAGUAUCUUGGCCAGAACAAGCAUAAGUUAGAGAAUGGUCGAAAGAUAAAAUCUGAGACAAAGCAAUCUCC